ACGAACGCUGGCGGCGUGCUUAACACAUGCAAGUCGAACGGAAAGGCCCUGCUUUUGUGGGGUGCUCGAGUGGCGAACGGGUGAGUAACACGUGAGUAACCUGCCCUUGACUUUGGGAUAACUUCAGGAAACUGGGGCUAAUACCGGAUAGGAGCUCCUGCUGCAUGGUGGGGGUUGGAAAGUUUCGGCGGUUGGGGAUGGACUCGCGGCUUAUCAGCUUGUUGGUGGGGUAGUGGCUUACCAAGGCUUUGACGGGUAGCUGGCCUGAGAGGGUGACCGGCCACAUUGGGACUGAGAUACGGCCCAGACUCCUACGGGUGGCAGCAGUGGGGAAUAUUGCACAAUGGGCGGAAGCCUGAUGCAGCAACGCCGCGUGCGGGAUGACGGCCUUCGGGUUGUAAACCGCUUUCGCCUGUGACGAAGCGUGAGUGACGGUAAUGGGUAAAGAAGCACCGGCUAACUACGUG
RNAcentral lists this ribosomal RNA (467 nucleotides) under uncultured bacterium. RNAcentral's name for it is "partial 16S ribosomal RNA". It matches the Rfam family "Bacterial small subunit ribosomal RNA", at positions 29 to 507 of the family's 1533-position model. The record is from RNAcentral.